CGCAUCCUUCGGGAUGAGCGGCGGACGGGUGAGUAACGCGUGGGAAUAUGCCCUUCUCUAAGGAAUAGCCUCGGGAAACUGAGAGUAAUACCUUAUACGCCCUUCGGGGGAAAGAUUUAUCGGAGAAGGAUUAGCCCGCGUUAGAUUAGGUAGUUGGUGGGGUAAUGGCCUACCAAGCCUACGAUCUAUAGCUGGUUUGAGAGGAUGAUCAGCCACACUGGGACUGAGACACGGCCCAGACUCCUACGGGAGGCAGCAGUAGGGAAUCUUAGACAAUGGGGGAAACCCUGAUCUAGCCAUGCCGCGUGUGUGAUGAAGGCCUUAGGGUCGUAAAGCACUUUCGCCAGAGAUGAUAAUGACAGUAUCUGGUAAAGAAACCCCGGCUAACUCCGUGCCGGCAGCCGCGGUAAUACGGAGGGGGUUAGCGUUGUUCGGAAUUACUGGGCGUAAAGCGCACGUAGGCGGAUUAGUAAGUUA
RNAcentral lists this ribosomal RNA (477 nucleotides) under uncultured Paracoccaceae bacterium. RNAcentral's name for it is "bacterial SSU rRNA". It matches the Rfam family "Bacterial small subunit ribosomal RNA", at positions 67 to 590 of the family's 1533-position model. The record is from RNAcentral. Lineage: Bacteria; Pseudomonadati; Pseudomonadota; Alphaproteobacteria; Rhodobacterales; Paracoccaceae.